GAUCAUGGCUCAGAUUGAACGCUGGCGGCAGGCUUAACACAUGCAAGUCGAGCGGGGAAGAGUAGCUUGCUACUUAACCUAGCGGCGGACGGGUGAGUAAUGCUUAGGAAUCUGCCUAUUAGUGGGGGACAACAUCUCGAAAGGGAUGCUAAUACCGCAUACGUCCUACGGGAGAAAGCAGGGGACCUUCGGGCCUUGCGCUAAUAGAUGAGCCUAAGUCGGAUUAGCUAGUUGGUGGGGUAAACGG
RNAcentral lists this ribosomal RNA (247 nucleotides) under uncultured bacterium. Its description in RNAcentral is "partial 16S ribosomal RNA". It matches the Rfam family "Bacterial small subunit ribosomal RNA", at positions 15 to 263 of the family's 1533-position model. The record is from RNAcentral.